CCGAGUUUACAACCCCCAAACCCAAUGUGAACGUUACCAAACUGUUGCCUCGGCGGGGUCACGCCCCGGGUGCGUAAAAGCCCCGGAACCAGGCGCCCGCCGGAGGAACCAACCAAACUCUUUCUGUAGUCCCCUCGCGGACGUAUUUCUUACAGCUCUGAGCAAAAAUUCAAAAUGAAUCA
This 182-nucleotide unclassified non-coding RNA is filed under the name soil metagenome. Its description in RNAcentral is "partial internal transcribed spacer 1". The record is from RNAcentral.